RNAcentral lists this ribosomal RNA (414 nucleotides) under Triticum aestivum (bread wheat). RNAcentral's name for it is "partial small subunit ribosomal RNA". Lineage: Eukaryota; Viridiplantae; Streptophyta; Magnoliopsida; Poales; Poaceae. The record is from RNAcentral.
AUGAAGUUGGCACUGGACUUUGGAAUUGAUUCUGGACCCCCACCUGCUCAGGACGCCCCGCCUGCUCAGGACGAUCCCAUUACGGAUUUUCUGGAGGGGGACACGCUUGACCCAGCGCAAAAACGGGAAUUCAGAAAUAUUCUGAAUUUCUUGAAGACCAAAAGCAGAACGAACCUUCAAAAUGAGCGAAUCGUAAUAAAAAGAUGUUGGGGGGGCGAGGGUAGUAGUUACGAAUCCAGGGCAAUCAACCACUAUCUAAAAACCCAGGUUGGACAACUGCGUGCUGGGGGAUUAGCAGGGGAUUUUGUCAUAAAGGAAUUACGGAAAUGGAAAAGGGACUUCAAAGCUCAGAAGAGACGGUCCCACUUCUAUCAGGGCCUUCUCGGGGUCUUGAGCAAUGUUAAUUUGCAUUGA